This is a long non-coding RNA of Humulus lupulus (European hop), 799 nucleotides long. RefSeq lists it as uncharacterized. The transcript is spliced from 2 exons. The record is from RefSeq and is a predicted model, not a curated record. NCBI's taxonomy places the organism in Eukaryota, Viridiplantae, Streptophyta, Magnoliopsida, Rosales, Cannabaceae.
AAAUAUUAAGUGUAUGUUGGAGUAGCUUAGGAAGGAGAGGUUUGUUACAGGUAGGCAGCUGUAUAAUUAUAAAACCAACAAGUCAGUAAAUUAGCUUAUGUAAGCUUUGAAUUUCAGUGAGAUUUUAACUAAAGGAUUCGUCCGAGUAGUAGGCAUAUUGUGAGGGACAUAAACUGUGACACUUGGUUGUCUGAAUUCUAAACAUAUUACACUUUGUGCUCUUUAUCCAAACAUACUUUAGAGUUGCUCAAUGCUUUAACAUGGAACAUCUUAGCAACCUUAGAGAAGGUUUUGUUCUAUUCUUUCUUUUAAGUAUUCUUAGGUUGACUUAGAUUCCAUACCAAAAUAAUUUUCAAUUAAAUUUCAACUUACAGGUGUUCAGGUAUUCAUCCAGGCUUUAGAACAACUAAUUGAAGCUAAUCCUUUAGAAAAUAUGUCCUCAGACCAGUUAAUGUGGUUGUAUUCAAGCCAUGAUCUUGAGCAAAAGGUACCGCACUCUCGUAGGCUCUUGGAUUGAACCUUUCCAAGAAGAAGCUGAACUUGGAUAUGAGAUUGAUUAUGUGGCCAGCUCCUAAUUGUGCAUUACAAGUUUACAACAAUGUCUCCAUCAAUGGAUCUCCUUGUUUGUCCAUUUACUUAGUGAAUUUGUUGUAUUCCAAUGCUCCUGUUGCUAUUUUCUUUUCAAUAAAUAAAGAAAACUUUAGGGGUAUUUGGCAAUUCUUUAUAAAUAAUUUGCUUGAAUUUUUGUGGCUGUGUUGUGAAUAUUCUGCAACAAAAUAAUCAUCUCUAAAUUAUGAUC